GAAUGCCAGGGCGAUCUGGCUGUGACAUCUGUCUCCCCACUGAUCAUCAGGGUUGAUUUGGCUGAUCUGGCUGGCUAGGUGGGUGUCCCCUUCCUCCUUCACCACUCUGUGUGAGUCCCUCUGGAAGCUGUGCACUGGGUUGAAGAGAACGAUCACCCCAGAGAGAGGAGGUCAAGGGUAUAUGAGUAGCUGCGCUCCCCUGCUAAAGCCUCCAAAAAAUCUAGCUCUCAAGUUGUAAAAAUAUAUCUCAUAUAAAUACCAUUAGGAUUAAAUGAGUUAAUAGUUAUAAAGCUUAAAACAAUGUGUGACAUUAGAUCUACUAGUCUCAAUUUAU
Unclassified non-coding RNA from Fukomys damarensis (Damara mole-rat), 334 nucleotides. Its record names the gene 7SK. It matches the Rfam family "7SK RNA". Rfam says of the family: 7SK was discovered as an abundant small nuclear RNA in the mid-70s but a possible function has only recently been suggested. The record is from Ensembl. NCBI's taxonomy places the organism in Eukaryota, Metazoa, Chordata, Mammalia, Rodentia, Bathyergidae.